RNA transcript from Macrosteles quadrilineatus (aster leafhopper), 1620 nucleotides. RefSeq lists it as uncharacterized. The record is from RefSeq and is a predicted model, not a curated record. NCBI's taxonomy places the organism in Eukaryota, Metazoa, Arthropoda, Insecta, Hemiptera, Cicadellidae. The transcript is spliced from 3 exons.
UUGUUCUCUCGUCUCAGCCUGGUACACAUCAAACCUCUUCUCGCGGUCUCAUCAUUUUUCCAAAAUUUCCUAUAAGUGGAACAUUCAGAUCUGGGAUGGUGCUAAACGGAAAAGCUGAGCUUGCUGCCCGAGUUGCUAAGGCAGCAAAAUGUCGCUAUGAGCAGUUGGAGUUGUGUGGCAUUGUCACGGUGCUGAGUCUAGCCUUGGUGCUGAGCUACCAGCUCUACCUCAGCAUGGUGGACGACUGGCAGGAGAUUCCUCAGCAACGUUGGCGCGUACUGAUGCUCUCCCUCACACUACUGCUGAUGAGUAUCGCAACCUGUCUGUACAUGUGUCGCCGCCUCCAGCCUAUCGUACGUUUACCCCCACCUCCGGUAAGUGUCAGAGGCGUAACACGGGCCAGUCUACAUAGAAAGCUUUCAAAGUUGGUUUUUUGAUUCUGCAGGCUCGUACUGCAGAGUGUAAACAACCAGCCGGCUCUCAGUCGAUGGUUAGGAGCUUGUGGAAAUGAGUAUCGUAGCAGUAUGUACCAUUGUGGAGGUUGAAACUUGCGCAGCCUCUGGAAAGUUACCCCAGUAAAGACUCUCGCGUACUCUGACUAGUGUCAACAGCCAGCUGUUCUUGAUCACUGGAGAGAGACCUCCGAGCUAUGACAGCAUCACAAAACCAGAGUUGGUCUACGUCCCUCCACCCCCCUACAAUGCUAUCUUUGACGUUUGAACAUAAGCUGUUUGGUUGGUCCUACUUCAAAUGCUACUUUCAAGAUCUAUGUAAAUAUAUUGAUCCAAGUCUGUGUCAUCCAAUGAGAAGCAAGUUUUCAGCGCAGUGACGCAGUGAAACAGUAUUAACAAUUUGCUAGUGUUGUGCAAUCUAAUGCUUCAACUUAAUAAACCAAAAACCAAACCUUCAUGACAAGGGUGUUAACGAUAUUAAUAAAUUAAAACUACCAAAGAUACUCCCAUGCUCGGUAGGAUUAUGUUUUUAAUGGUAGUAACGACUACAUCAGUCGGACUCUUGAAUACAAGCGUUUAUAUACUUUGUGUUAAACAGAGGGCAGACCUCUAAAAAGAAAGAUUUUAUCUAUCCAUUUUUUGGAGCUAUGAAAUGAUGAAAUCAAUCUAAAUUCUUCAAAUUUUCCAAGCAAAAUUUGUUGUGCAUCUCAAUGAUUUAGGAUGUUUUGAAAAAAAGUGUGUAUUUGACAAAUUGUUUUACAUAAUUUGUAGAUUUUUUAAAAUUAUUUUGUUUAUUAUGGAAGAGAAACAGAAAUACACUAUAAUAUUCAGUCAAAGAUUUACUCGCUAAUAAACCGUAAUAGUAUACAUUAGUGGAUUUUUUUUUCAUUUAGGUGCUUUGAACAAAGUGUUCUUGAAAUGUAUGGGAGAACCUUGAGUUUUAUUGUAACACAAACCCCCUAUUUUGUUUGGUGCAUCUUGUGUGUCCUCAUAAUCUAGUCUAAUGUAAAUAAUUAAAAAAAGAUUUACGUUGAAUAGCUGAUUCUAUAUUAUUGUAUUUAUAUUUGUUUCUACGUUGUAUUUUUUUAUUCUGUUUGGUCUUAUUGAUUUUUUAUUCAUAUAAGUUAUGUAUCUACUUUUUCAUUGUUGUAUAAAUAUUUUUACACUA